AUACAGGACAAUAUUACUUCAGAUUUGAAACAAAUAAGGAUGACGAGGAGUUUUCUCGAAAACCUGUCUCUCUCUCUGUGACAGGUUUGCUGGUAAAUAUGGAUCCUGAUACAGUGAAAGAAGGGGAGAAUGUCACACUGACCUGCAUCACCACCUGCACUUUGAGUGACCCCCCCUCUUACAUCUGGUACAAGAACUCCCAACCUAUUGCAUACAGCCAGACAUUAAUGGAAUACCUGUACCUAAACCCAGUACGCAUUGAUGAUUCAGGCAGUUACUCCUGUGCUGUGGGAGGACAUGAGGACCAUCCCUCACCUGUACGGACUCUUAGUGUCAGGUAUGCACCAAGAAAUGUCUCAGUAUCACUGAGUUUUACUGGUUAUAUACUGGAAGGAAGCUCAGUGACUCCGACCUGCAGCAGUGAUGCCAACCCACAAGCAACCUACACCUGGUUUAAGGUGAAAAGGGGUCAAACCUUUUCUAUGGGAUCAGGACAGCAGUUGAACAUCAGUAAUAUCAGCUCGGAAUUUAGCGGGCAGUUCUACUGCAGAGCUGAGAACAAUAUUGGAUACAGUGAUUCU
This is a long non-coding RNA of Alosa alosa (allis shad), 581 nucleotides long. RefSeq lists it as uncharacterized. The transcript is spliced from 3 exons. NCBI's taxonomy places the organism in Eukaryota, Metazoa, Chordata, Actinopteri, Clupeiformes, Clupeidae. The record is from RefSeq and is a predicted model, not a curated record.